AAGAAAGACCGGCUGUAUGCAAAAGCCCGGGAUGCAUUUGCUAGCCAAACUGGAACCAGUGCUUACUACCCUUUAAUUCAGCCAUAUUUAGGUGGAGCUCCAAUAAAGGACCUGGAACACUUAGCAGGAUCUAAUAUUGGCAUGGAUAUCGACACAUUUACUUCCUUAAAACCCAGCGAACUGCAGAACCUCAGUGUCCAGAAUGUGAAAAAUUUGCUUGGUGUAAACCUCCCUGAUCUAAAACGAGCUGAAAAUCAUCCAUCCGUGACCAGCUGGAUCCAGAGGCACUAUCAGUCGGAACUGGACAGCGUCCUGGGCAUCGGUCUGCUCGGGGGAAUGUCAGAGCCAGUCUCAGUGGCAACAGCUAGCAGUGGGACUUCCGCUACCCCUGAUACCAGCACCACCCCACCUACCACCACCUACAAUGUCACCAUCCCCCA
Molecule: long non-coding RNA, 440 nt
Organism: Terrapene triunguis (Three-toed box turtle)
Lineage: Eukaryota; Metazoa; Chordata; Testudines; Emydidae
Exons: 3
Source: RefSeq, a predicted model, not a curated record